This 400-nucleotide ribosomal RNA is filed under the name Methanospirillum hungatei. Its description in RNAcentral is "partial 16S ribosomal RNA". The record is from RNAcentral. Lineage: Archaea; Methanobacteriati; Methanobacteriota; Methanomicrobia; Methanomicrobiales; Methanospirillaceae.
AUGUUGAAACGCGAUUACUACGGAUUCCAGCUUCAUGCGGGUGAGUUACAACCCGAAUCCGAACUUCGGACAGGUUUAGGAGAUUGCCUUCACCUUUCGGUGUCGGAACCCAUUGUCCUGACCAUUGUAGCCCGCGUGUAGCCCGGAUAAUUCGGGGCAUGCUGACCUACCGUUGCCCAUUCCUUCCUCCCCUUUAGCAGAGGCGGUCCCAACGAUGUCCCCAUCAACCCGAAGGUUAUGCUGGCAAUUGUUGGCGUGGGUCUCGCUCGUUGCCUGACUAAACAGGAUGCUUCACAGUACGAACUGACGACGGCCAUGCACCUCCUCUCAGCUAGUCAAGUAGAGUCUUCAUCCCGACUAUCAUUCAGCUGUCUUAUCCGGUGAGAUUUCCCGGCGUUGA